GUUCCUGUAGUUAAAUUUUUAGUAACGACAGUUUUUCAGGCUGUAGAUCUCGGAGAGAGGCCGAGUAGGAAUU
Molecule: transfer RNA, 73 nt
Filed under: Zosterops senegalensis (African yellow white-eye)
Lineage: Eukaryota; Metazoa; Chordata; Aves; Passeriformes; Zosteropidae
Also listed under: 2 other names
Description: tRNA-Glu
Source: RNAcentral